AUUGAACGCUGGCGGCAGGCCUAACACAUGCAAGUCGAGCGAGCGGCGGACGGGUGAGUAAUGUCUGGGAAACUGCCUGAUGGAGGGGGAUCACUACUGGACACGGUAGCUAAUACCGCAUACCAUCAGAUGUGCCCAGAUGGGAUUAGCUAGUGGGUGGGGUAACGGCUCACCUAGGCGCAGAUCCCUAGCUGGUCUGAGAGGAUGACCAGCCACACUGGAACGGAGACACGGUCCAGACUCCUACGGGAGGCAGCAGUGGGGAAUAUUGCACAAUGGGAGCAAGCCUGAUGCAGCCAGGCCGCGUGUGUGAAGAAGGCCUUCGGGUUGUAAAGCACUUUCAGCGGGGAGGCGUUACCCGCAGAAGAAGCACCGGCUAACUCCGUGCCAGCAGCCGCGGUAAUUC
RNAcentral lists this ribosomal RNA (406 nucleotides) under uncultured bacterium. RNAcentral's name for it is "partial 16S ribosomal RNA". It matches the Rfam family "Bacterial small subunit ribosomal RNA", at positions 29 to 526 of the family's 1533-position model. The record is from RNAcentral.